ACCUUAUCGGUACUCGCGAAUGCAUCUCGAUUAGNUUAUGAUCAUGGCUCAGAAUCAACGCUGGCGGUCGUGCCUAACACAUGCAAGUCGAACGCGAAAGGGGCUUUGGCCCUGAGUAGAGUGGCGUCCGGGUGAGUAACGCGUGGGUAGUCUACCUUCGGGUGGGGAAUAACUCAGGGAAACUUGAGCUAAUACCGCAUAAUGCAGCGGCUCGACAUCGAGACAGUUGUUAAAGCCCUUCGCAAGAAGGGCGCCUGAAGAGGAGCCUGCGUCUGAUUAGCUAGUUGGUGAGGUAAUGGCCCACCAAGGCUACGAUCAGUAGCUGGUCUGAGAGGACGGCCAGCCACAAUGGCACUGAAACACGGGCCAUACUCCUACGGGGAGGCAGCCAGUUGGGGAAUUUUGCCGCAAUGGGCGAAAGCCUGACGGCAGCAACGCCGCGUGAACGGAUGAAAUUCCUUCGGGGAUGUAAACUUCGGUAAGCAUGGGGAAGAAAACNAUGACGGUACCAUGCGUAAGCCCCGGUAACUCCGUAGCCAACAGCGCCGGGUAAUACGGGGGGGGGCCAGCGGUUGAACCGGAAUUACUUGGGCCGUAAAGAGGCGCGUAGCGGGGU
This 616-nucleotide ribosomal RNA is filed under the name uncultured bacterium. Its description in RNAcentral is "partial 16S ribosomal RNA". It matches the Rfam family "Bacterial small subunit ribosomal RNA", at positions 1 to 580 of the family's 1533-position model. The record is from RNAcentral.